CACGGGUGAGUAACACGUAUCCAACCUGCCGUCUACUCUUGGACAGCCUUCUGAAAGGAAGAUUAAUACAAGAUGGCAUCAUGAGUCCGCAUGUUCACAUGAUUAAAGGUAUUCCGGUAGACGGCGGGGAUGCGUUCCAUUAGAUAGUAGGCGGGGUAACGGCCCACCUAGUCUUCGAUGGAUAGGGGUUCUGAGAGGAAGGUCCCCCACAUUGGAACUGAGACAUGGUCCAA
This 233-nucleotide ribosomal RNA is filed under the name uncultured bacterium. RNAcentral describes it as "partial 16S ribosomal RNA". It matches the Rfam family "Bacterial small subunit ribosomal RNA", at positions 102 to 334 of the family's 1533-position model. The record is from RNAcentral.